GUGUAGCUCAGUGGUGGAGCCCUUGCCUAACAUGCAGGAAACACUGAGUUCAAUCCCCAGCAC
Heterocephalus glaber (naked mole-rat) is the source of this 63-nucleotide non-coding RNA. The record is from Rfam. Lineage: Eukaryota; Metazoa; Chordata; Mammalia; Rodentia; Bathyergidae.